GGCUGUUGAAGAUGCUCUUAGUAGAGUAGAGUACCACAUCUUCUUCCUCCCCCGGCCGGUCUCCCACUCCCCUAGUCACUUUUGAGGGAGGCCUCCCAUGGGGAUGGGGGAGAGAUCUAGACAGACAGAGGAUGAAGGACUUCGCGCUAGACGGGGUCUCUCUGGGUGGAUCUCCGGCCGGGCCCUUGCUAAUCUCAGAUAAUCGACCGACAUAUAUGCCGCCGGCCAGACGGAUCAGGAGGAGGCACGGCGCUCCCCGGCCGGCCGCCCGGACUGAGCAGCGGUGACAGCUCGGACGCAACGCACUUGGCCUGCGUCAGCUGCGGCGGCAGGGUCCAUCUCCUCCCUGGAGCAGCGGUGGUGGCGUGGGACACAGCGGGCUCGGCCGCGAAAAUGGAUUUCUCUGGCGGGGCAUUUGCAAAUGUCGAUAUGCCGACAAAUCCUUGCCUCUGUUCCUCGACCUCGUUUGAGGGACGCAUAUGCCCCUGCGGCCGUUCCUCCUCGUGGUCAGUGAUGCAAAGCCGAGGGCACUGAAGUCGCUGCCGCUGUUCCUCUACGCGACGGUGAUACACAUGGCGUAGCCUCUCCUUGAUCUUAUACUCCGUGCCUCGUUCAUCCAUAUAUGAUCUUAUUUUUUUCAGUUUUUUGCUAGAUUUAACAUUGGCCUUUGUUCAAAUCCUAUUCAUGUUGAACCAUUGAAAGCAAGCACACAAAGCUGCAGAGGCAACCAGUCCAAAGGAAUCAGUACGAUAAUGUGUUUCCAGUAUUCCUAAAAUAAAUGAAGUAAUGGUGUGAUUAACACUAA
Triticum urartu is the source of this 805-nucleotide long non-coding RNA. RefSeq lists it as uncharacterized. NCBI's taxonomy places the organism in Eukaryota, Viridiplantae, Streptophyta, Magnoliopsida, Poales, Poaceae. The record is from RefSeq and is a predicted model, not a curated record.